Molecule: ribosomal RNA, 808 nt
Filed under: uncultured bacterium
Lineage: Bacteria
Description: bacterial SSU rRNA
Rfam family: Bacterial small subunit ribosomal RNA
Source: RNAcentral
GAUGAACGCUGGCGGCGUGCCUAACACAUGCAAGUCGAGCGAGACGGCUUAGAAUGAUCCUUCGGGAGAAUGAUAAGCUAGACAGCGGCGGACGGGUGAGUAACGCGUGGACAACCUGCCUUAUACUGGGGGAUAACGUUUUGAAAAGAACGCUAAUACCGCAUAAGCGCACAGGACCGCAUGGUCUGGUGUGAAAAACUCCGGUGGUAUAAGAUGGAUCCGCGUCAGAUUAGCUAGUUGGUGAGAUAAAAGCUCACCAAGGCAACGAUCUGUAGCCGACCUGAGAGGGUGAUCGGCCACAUUGGGACUGAGACACGGCCCAAACUCCUACGGGAGGCAGCAGUGGGGAAUAUUGCACAAUGGGGGAAACCCUGAUGCAGCGACGCCGCGUGAAGGAUGAAGGUUUUCGGAUCGUAAACUUCUAUCAGCAGGGAAGAUAGUGACUGUACCUGACUAAGAAGCCCCGGCUAACUACGUGCCAGCAGCCGCGGUAAUACGUAGGGGGCAAGCGUUAUCCGGAAUUACUGGGUGUAAAGGGUGCGUAGGCGGUUUAUUAAGUCAGAUGUGAAAGCCCGAGGCUCAACCUCGGGACUGCAUUUGAAACUGGUAAACUAGAAUACAGGAGAGGUAAGUGGAAUUCCUAGUGUAGCGGUGAAAUGCGUAGAUAUUAGGAGGAACACCAGUGGCGAAGGCGACUUACUGGACUGUUAUUGACGCUGAGGCACGAAAGCGUGGGGAGCAAACAGGAUUAGAUACCUGGUAGUCCACGCCGUAAACGAUGAAUGCUAGGUGUCGGGGGUCGAACCUC